Molecule: ribosomal RNA, 470 nt
Filed under: uncultured bacterium
Lineage: Bacteria
Description: bacterial SSU rRNA
Rfam family: Bacterial small subunit ribosomal RNA
Source: RNAcentral
CAGCGAUACCUGCGGGAUGUGAAGAAGGCCUUCGGGUUGUAAAGCACUUUAAGUGGGGAAGAAAGGUAAUGAGCGAAUAAGUCAUUGCUGUGACGGUACUCGCAGAAUAAGCACCGGCUAACUCUGUGCCAGCAGCCGCGGUAAUACAUAGGGUGCAAGCGUUAAUCAAAAUGACUGGGCGUAAAGGGUGUGUAGGUGGUUGACUAAGUUUGAUGUGAAAUCCCCGGGCUUAACCUGGGAAUUGCAUCGGAAACUGGUCGACUCGAGUGACAUAGAGGGUGGUGGAAUUUCCGGUGUACCGGUGAAAUGCGUAAAUAUCGGAAAGAACACCAGUGGCGAAGGCAACCACCUGGAUCUUAACUGACACUGAGGCGCGAAUGCGUGGGGAGCAAACAGGAUUACAUACCCUGGUAGUCCACGCUGUAAACGAUGAUAACUGGCUGUGAUGUGUAAGGAGCAAUCUAUGCAUG